UAAUUGCUAUUGGGGUCCGAUUUAGCCAUGCUAGUUGCACGAGUUCAUACUCGUGGCGAAAAGCUCAGUAACACGUGGCCAAACUACCCUACAGAGAACGAUAACCUCGGGAAACUGAGGCUAAUAGUUCAUACGGGAGUCAUGCUGGAAUGCCGACUCCCCGAAACGCUCAGGCGCUGUAGGAUGUGGCUGCGGCCGAUUAGGUAGACGGUGGGGUAACGGCCCACCGUGCCGAUAAUCGGUACGGGUUGUGAGAGCAAGAGCCCGGAGACGGAAUCUGAGACAAGAUUCCGGGCCCUACGGGGCGCAGCAGGCGCGAAACCUUUACACUGCACGCAAGUGCGAUAAGGGGACCCCAAGUGCGAGGGCAUAUAGUCCUCGCUUUUCACGACUGUAAGGCGGUCGUGGAAUAAGAGCUGGGCAAGACCGGUGCCAGCCGCCGCGGUAAUACCGGCAGCUCAAGUGAUGACCGAUAUUAUUGGGCCUAAAGCGUCCGUAGCCGGCCACGAAGGUUCAUCGGGAAAUCCGCCAGCUCAACUGGCGGGCGUCCGGUGAAAACCACGUGGCUUGGGACCGGAAGGCUCGAGGGGUACGUCCGGGGUAGGAGUGAAAUCCCGUAAUCCUGGACGGACCACCGAUGGCGAAAGCACCUCGAGAAGACGGAUCCGACGGUGAGGGACGAAAGCUAGGGUCUCGAACCGGAUUAGAUACCCGGGUAGUCCUAGCUGUAAACGAUGCUCGCUAGGUGUGACACAGGCUACGAGCCUGUGUUGUGCCGUAGGGAAGCCGAGAAGCGAGCCGCCUGGGAAGUACGUCCGCAAGG
Molecule: ribosomal RNA, 823 nt
Filed under: Haloferax sp. BS2a
Lineage: Archaea; Methanobacteriati; Methanobacteriota; Halobacteria; Halobacteriales; Haloferacaceae
Description: bacterial SSU rRNA
Rfam family: Archaeal small subunit ribosomal RNA
Source: RNAcentral